CAAAAGUUGGCUCACAACAUAGAGGCCGCCCACGGGGGAGAAGCGCAGCAGCGGCGGCGGCGGAGGCAUGGCGGCGCGAAACCUCCUGAGGCGUGCGGUGGGCGGCCACCGCUUCCCUGUCCCCGUCGCCACAGGCGCCCUUGUUGGUUCUGCAAGCCGGAGCAUCGGCGCCGCCGCUCAGCCUCCCCCGCCGUCGCUCUUCUCCACUGGGUUCCCAUCUCCUCCCUUCACCGCCCCAGAACCCCUCACGCCGGCGCUACUGCGGCGGGGGGUCUCCGCGGCAUCGGGCCUUCGUCAUUACGCAGCCCCAUCCAGUGUGGAGGAAGCAGUGGGAAACUUGGAAUUGCAUGCACCCAAGGCAAACCGUCGGUCAAAUAUCCCAAAGAAAAAUGGAACAGCCAUGAUUCUUCCACUCCAUUUCCAUUACGAAGAUGUGCUACGUCAGGAUCUGUUGCUCAAACAGAAUCAUGCCAAUAUCAUGCAAGUUCCAGGGUUGUUUGAGAUCAAACUAGCACCAAAAGCAGGCUCCGAUCUCAAGAUCCCAAUUGGAAAAAUGGCUAUGGAAGUUUUGAGUGGUCAGAGAUUCAAAGAGGCAAAAAGUGAUCCUUUUGCUAAAGCAAGAAAGUCGUCUCGAACCAAUCCAUUUAUCGGGGCUGACAAGGACAGUAGCACUGCCUUUGCACAACCAACUGUUCUCCGAGGACAUGCAAUGUACAACUUCUUAGUGAGGAUGUUAACAGUGAUGCCCAUGUUAGAUUCUCGGGCUGAAAUUCGGGAAAACACUAUAAAAUUCUUCAUGGAAACAGAGUUCUGCGAGUUCUCUCCGGAAUUGGAAGACCAUUUCGAGAUCUUUGAGCACAUCCGAGGUUUCAAUGUGACUAUCGCUACUUCAGCCGAUACAAAGGAUGAGACCUCACUACUGUGGAGUGGCUUCACGCUAAAUGAUGAGGGAGAGACUAAGUAAAUUGACUGUCUGGCAGGGGAUGAGGGCUGUUGAUGCUGUCAAAAUGAUAUUGGAGUUCGGGAGGUUCAUGCUCAUGGUGAGCAAUGCAGCAUCCUUUUUUUCGUAGCGAUGUGUGGAGCUCAUGUUUGAUCACUACAUCUAGUACUAUAUAUGAACACAAUAAUCUAGGCUCUAAUAAGCAUCGUUUUGAUUAUUUCUGUGGUUCCUGCUGUAGUAACAUGGAAUGCUCGUUUCUCUUUGCCAAAA
This is an RNA transcript of Panicum virgatum (switchgrass), 1210 nucleotides long. It is a transcript of the gene named 60S ribosomal protein L5, mitochondrial-like, with no coding region annotated. The transcript is spliced from 5 exons. NCBI's taxonomy places the organism in Eukaryota, Viridiplantae, Streptophyta, Magnoliopsida, Poales, Poaceae. The record is from RefSeq and is a predicted model, not a curated record.